RNAcentral lists this ribosomal RNA (471 nucleotides) under uncultured Glomus. Its description in RNAcentral is "partial 18S ribosomal RNA". Lineage: Eukaryota; Fungi; Glomeromycota; Glomeromycetes; Glomerales; Glomeraceae. The record is from RNAcentral.
CUUCAUCCGAUCCCUAGUCGGCAUAGUUUAUGGUUAAGACUACGACGGUAUCUGAUCGUCUUCGAUCCCCUAACUUUCGUUCUUGAUUAAUGAAAACAUCCUUGGCAAAUGCUUUCGCAGUAGUUAGUCUUCAAUAAAUCCAAGAAUUUCACCUCUGACAAUUGAAUACUAAUGCCCCCAACUAUCCCUAUUAAUCAUUACGUCGAUCCUAGAAACCAACAAAAUAGAAUCGAUCGUCCUAUUUCGUUAUUCCAUGCUAAUGUAUUCAAGCGCGAGCCUGCUUUAAACACUCUAAUUUUUUCAAGGUAACAGUCCUGAUUCCCCACAACACAAAAUUAAUGGCAUUAUGGUUCUUCAAGAAGGAGAGUCCAGUAAGGUUAGUACAUACCUGUGGCACGACCAACUCACUGGCCCCGAAAUUCAACUACGAGCUUUUUAACUGCAACAACUUUAAUAUACGCUAUUGGAGCU